UACGAAGGGGGCGAGCGUUGUUCGGAUUUACUGGGCGUAAAGGGCGCGCAGGCGGCCCUCUUAGUCGCGUGUGAAAGCCCCGGGCUCAACCUGGGAACGGCGCGCGAAACGGGAGGGCUGGAGUUCGGGAGAGGAGAGUGGAAUUCCCAGUGGUAGAGGUGAAAUUCGUAGAUAUUGGGAAGAACACCGGUGGCGAAGGCGGCUCUCUGGACCGAGACUGACG
Molecule: ribosomal RNA, 223 nt
Filed under: uncultured bacterium
Lineage: Bacteria
Description: partial 16S ribosomal RNA
Rfam family: Bacterial small subunit ribosomal RNA
Source: RNAcentral